RNAcentral lists this ribosomal RNA (305 nucleotides) under uncultured bacterium. Its description in RNAcentral is "bacterial SSU rRNA". It matches the Rfam family "Bacterial small subunit ribosomal RNA", at positions 338 to 660 of the family's 1533-position model. The record is from RNAcentral.
CCUACGGGGCGCAGCAGUGGGGAAUAUUGCACAAUGGGGGAAACCCUGAUGCAGCAAUGCCGCGUGGGUGAAGAAGCACUCCGGUGCGUAAAGCCCUGUCAGCAGGGAAGAAAAUGACAGUACCUGACCAAGAAGCCCCGGCUAACUACGUGCCAGCAGCCGCGGUAAUACGUAGGGGGCAAGCGUUAUCCGGAUUUACUGGGUGUAAAGGGAGCGUAGACGGUAUGGCAAGUCUGAAGUGAAAGCCCCGGGCUCAACCUGGGAAUUGCUUUGGAAACUGUUAAACUAGAGUGCUGGAGAGGCAG